UGACAAUGUCACGUGACGGAAUGACGCCUUCCGAGUGCCGACGUCGUAGGGUCACGUGAUGUGUAGACAGCGGCUUGUGGACAAGACACACAGGAACAGGAAGAGAGGUAAGCCCUCCCGCUACCUCAGCAGUGGAUUUUUAGGUGCAAAAUUUAAAGUUAUGAUUUUUAAAGGCGGGGCAGCACAGGGAAACAGACGGCAGAAGAUCCACUUACCAUCCGGAGGCUGCGGGCAACUGAUGGGCGGGCGGCGAUGUCGAGCGGCUGGUUCAUUGGAUCCUAUGAAAGCCGGUGAGUUGCCUAGCAACAUUUGGAGGGUUACAGUCUGAGACACUGGGUCAGGGAAGAAACCCAGGCUGGUGGAGCGGCUGAAUCCACCAGAACUGAAAGGGCAUUAGUGGGUACCAGGGGGUCUGGGGGAGCAGGCAGGGCAAGAGCGCUCAGUAGAGCCAGGCAUCUUGGUAUUACAGUGCUUGCAGACAAAAUAAGUCACUGACGUUCCAGGUUUCUGUUUAGAGGGAGGAACAGCUCUGGGUACGGACAUAAUGAGAAAAGAGACAGGAACUUUCUCACCCUAGUCUGUGUCCCCUGGCAGCUGCAGUGAGGAGAACUCUGC
This is a long non-coding RNA of Hyla sarda, 615 nucleotides long. RefSeq lists it as uncharacterized. NCBI's taxonomy places the organism in Eukaryota, Metazoa, Chordata, Amphibia, Anura, Hylidae. The transcript has 3 exons. The record is from RefSeq and is a predicted model, not a curated record.